GCCUCCGGCUGGGGCCACCCAGGCAACCGAUAUACACAGAGAACCACGUGGAGGAAAAGCACGCGAGUUUGGAGCGGGUGGAGCAGGAACAGAGGUGGACUGGAAUGUCACACGACGGGGCAGCUGGAAGGGCACCACUGAGUUCAGUACUUCAAAAUUGCCGUGCUCUACCUCUCCCCAGUGCACAAAAACACUCUCCACACCAAGCUGCUGCUGCUGGGGGAUGGAGGGAUGGCGUCAGCGAUUCAAGACUGUUUUUCCUACCUGUUCAGCACUUCUUUCAGCGAUAUGAAGUUAAAUCCAGGCAUCAUCGCCAUCAACAUACAGCCAUACUCCAGGAUUGCCCAUCUUCAACAUAAACGGACUCUCCUGGACUCCACUUCCCACAUCAGUCACAGCCACACUUCCUGAGAAAGAAGUCUACACUCUUCAUUCACUUUCAUUCACCCACUUCCAACCUGGCUCCUGUUACCACUGGACCGUCAAAAGUGACUCUUGUCAAAGUCACUAUUCUGGCUACCUAUUGCUGUAUGUCGUCAUCAUCCACUUGUUCAAACAAGAGCCCAAGGAUCAUCCUAGAUUCCUUCUCACUUCCUCUCAAUCCAUCCCUGAAACAGCCAAACCACCAAGCAGCAAGAGGGAUCUUAUAAAAAUAUGACCAGAUCACAUCCUUCAACACUUCCCUGUUACCCUUACAAUAAAAUUCAAACUCUUCACCAUGACCUCCAAGGCUCCUAUUGAAUCCGGCUCUUGUCUGCCUCUUCAGUAACAUCAUGGACCACUCCUUACCAUUCCCUCCAUCUGGCUGUGCUUCCUGCAGCUCUUCCAAUGGCUGGCUUGUUCUCACCUUUGAAGUCUCAGCUCAAAGGACACUCCCUUGGGCUCUCCCUCAUCACCCUAACUAAUAGGUCACUUAAUAUUGUUAUUAUUUUUUAGAGACAAAGUCUCACUAUGUCACCCAGGCUUGCCUCAAACUCCUGGGCUCAAGCAAUUCUCCCACCUUGGCCUCUCAAAGUUCUAGGAUUACAGGCGUGAGCCACUAUGCCUGGCUAUGUCACUUAUUAUUCUUUAUUAUCUUCUAUAUAUAAAUGAUCCCAAUCUAUAAUUAUUUGAUUUAUUGAUUGGUUUACUUGCUUAAUAUCCAACUCCCAUACUAGAAUAUAAAUGUUAUAGAACAAGAGAUUGUCUGUACCAUCCACUGUUCUAGUCUCAUUACCCCACAUAAGGCCUGGCAUGGAGUGUGCACCUAAUAAAUGUUUGAAUAAAUAUUGACUGGAUCAGGGAUUCUUCUGAUGGGCCUGUGUGCUCUAAGAGCUGUUAUAUCCACCAGCAGUUGUGUGUUAACCUAGAGAGGAGCUAAGUCCUGUCCUCAGACUGAACCCACGAUGGCUUCCUCUCCCUUUUCCCUGGUUUUGCAGAGUAUAGAAGAAAUAACAUAAAAUUUCUUUUUUUGCAAUUAGUUUGCAAAAUAGUAGAGGCUGCUUUUUGCACUCUUACUCAUGACUCCUCCUCUGGGAAGCCGCUGUCGCCUGGCAAAAGGGCCCUACAUAUGU
This 1553-nucleotide long non-coding RNA is filed under the name Homo sapiens (human). RNAcentral describes it as "HSALNT0365196". The record is from RNAcentral. Lineage: Eukaryota; Metazoa; Chordata; Mammalia; Primates; Hominidae.